UACGUAGGGGGCAAGCGUUGUUCGGAAUUACUGGGCGUAAAGAGUGUGUAGGCGGUGCUCCAAGUCUGGUGUGAAAUCUCCCGGCUCAACUGGGAGGGUGCAUUAGAAACUGGAAUGCUAGAGGAUGAGAGAGGUAAGCGGAAUUCCUGGUGUAGCGGUGAAAUGCGUAGAUAUCAGGAGGAACACCUGUGGUGUAGACAGCUUACUGGACCAUUUCUGACGCUGAGACACGAAAGCGUGGGUAGCAAACAGG
RNAcentral lists this ribosomal RNA (253 nucleotides) under uncultured bacterium. RNAcentral describes it as "partial 16S ribosomal RNA". It matches the Rfam family "Bacterial small subunit ribosomal RNA", at positions 524 to 776 of the family's 1533-position model. The record is from RNAcentral.